AGUGAACGCUGGCGGUGGGCCUAACACAUGCAAGUCGAACGGCAGCACAGUAAGAGCUUGCUCUUACGGUGGCGAGUGGCGGACGGGUGAGGAAUACAUCGGAAUCUACUUUUUCGUGGGGGAUAACGUAGGGAAACUUACGCUAAUACCGCAUACGACCUACGGGUGAAAGCAGGGGAUCUUCGGACCUUGCGCGAUUGAAUGAGCCGAUGUCGGAUUAGCUAGUUGGCGGGGUAAAGGCCCACCAAGGCGACGAUCCGUAGCUGGUCUGAGAGGAUGAUCAGCCACACUGGAACUGAGACACGGUCCAGACUCCUACGGGAGGCAGCAGUGGGGAAUAUUGGACAAUGGGCGCAAGCCUGAUCCAGCCAUACCGCGUGGGUGAAGAAGGCCUUCGGGUUGUAAAGCCCUUUUGUUGGGAAAGAAAAGCAGCAGGUUAAUACCCCGCUGUUCUGACGGUACCCAAAGAAUAAGCACCGGCUAACUUCGUG
Molecule: ribosomal RNA, 491 nt
Filed under: uncultured bacterium
Lineage: Bacteria
Description: partial 16S ribosomal RNA
Rfam family: Bacterial small subunit ribosomal RNA
Source: RNAcentral